RNAcentral lists this long non-coding RNA (790 nucleotides) under Sorghum bicolor (sorghum). RNAcentral's name for it is "long non-coding RNA (SBIC_LNC016195)". The record is from RNAcentral. Lineage: Eukaryota; Viridiplantae; Streptophyta; Magnoliopsida; Poales; Poaceae.
CAGAACCACCCAAAAAUAUUCUACUCCUAAUCUGGGAGAGAAUAGCCAAAAACAUUUCUGUUUUCCCCUGCGAAAUAAAUGCUCGAGUUAUCUUGUUACUACCACUUGCUAUAUUAUCUCAAGAGAUGAGUGCUCUAAAAAAAGAGAGAAAUGAGGAAAUAAAAAGGGGCAAGUGCCCGGAACCUCGAAAGAAAAGAAAAAGUGAGACGAGAGGUAAAAAUGGACAAGUGUCUGCCAGUAGAAUUAGGGGUACAAAAUACCCCCCUGAGAGUAAAGAAAAAGAAGAGCAUCUCAUUCUCCUCAAAAGUUUCAAAAAAAAGAGCAAGAAAGGUAUAUAUCCCCUCAAAAGAGCAAAUGUAGAAUUAGACUUUCACCACUGUUAUCACCAUCAUCACCAUACACCAUUCAUUUGCCACACAUGCACAUCUUGAUUUGACUUAUUGGCUUGUUACUUUGGAUCUAUGGUUUGACUAUGCAAUAAAUGUCUUGUAAGUAUGUAUACUUUAUCUCCCACCUAUGAGCUCCAGAUAUCAAAAGCCUUAUUAGAGUAGGAUGAGAGAGAAGGAAAUGUCACUAUGCUUUAUACCACAAAUACCACAUAUGUUGAGAGAAGGCAUAUACCAUCACUGCCUUGGUAAGGAUCCAGAAAUACCACAAAAGAGAGAUUUGAGAGUAUCAUACAAGGAAUCUCUGAGUUUUAUUUGAAAAUCUGCAAAAAACUCUACAGCUAUAGCUGAUGAAGAAUAAGAGACAUGGCACUUGACUAGACUGUUCUAUCUUUUAACUACAC